Molecule: ribosomal RNA, 466 nt
Filed under: uncultured bacterium
Lineage: Bacteria
Description: partial 16S ribosomal RNA
Rfam family: Bacterial small subunit ribosomal RNA
Source: RNAcentral
GACGAACGCUGGCGGCGCGCCUAACACAUGCAAGUCGAACGAGCGAGAGAGAGCUUGCUUUCUCGAGCGAGUGGCGAACGGGUGAGUAACGCGUGAGGAACCUGCCUCAAAGAGGGGGACAACAGUUGGAAACGACUGCUAAUACCGCAUAAGCCCACGGCUCGGCAUCGAGCAGGGGGAAAAGGAGCAAGCCGCUUUGAGAUGGCCUCGCGUCCGAUUAGCUAGUUGGUGGGGUAACGGCCCACCAAGGCGACGAUCGGUAGCCGGACUGAGAGGUUGAACGGCCACAUUGGGACUGAGACACGGCCCAGACUCCUACGGGAGGCAGCAGUGGGGAAUAUUGCACAAUGGGGGAAACCCUGAUGCAGCGACGCCGCGUGGAGGAAGAAGGUCUUCGGAUUGUAAACUCCUGUUGUUGGGGAAGAUAAUGACGGUACCCAACAAGGAAGUGACGGCUAACUACGUG